RNAcentral lists this ribosomal RNA (586 nucleotides) under uncultured bacterium. RNAcentral describes it as "bacterial SSU rRNA". It matches the Rfam family "Bacterial small subunit ribosomal RNA", at positions 338 to 916 of the family's 1533-position model. The record is from RNAcentral.
CCUACGGGAGGCAGCAGUGGGGAAUCUUGCGCAAUGGGCGGAAGCCUGACGCAGCAACGCCGCGUGCGGGAAGAAGGCCUUAGGGUCGUAAACCGCUUUCAGGGGGGACGAAGCUUCCGGGGUUAAUAGCCUACGGGGUGACGGUACUCCCAAAAGAAGGUCCGGCUAACUACGUGCCAGCAGCCGCAGUAAUACGUAGGGACCGAGCGUUGUCCGGAAUCAUUGGGCGUAAAGAGCGUGUAGGCGGCUUGGUAGGUCUCGUGUGAAAUCCCGCGGCUCAACCGCGGAUCCGCACGGGAAACCCCUAAGCUCGAGUCCGGAAGAGGAGAGUGGAAUUCCUGGUGUAGCGGUGAAAUGCGCAGAUAUCAGGAAGAACACCCGUAGCGAAGGCGGCUCUCUGGGACGGUACUGACGCUGAGACGCGAAAGCGUGGGGAGCAAACAGGAUUAGAUACCCUGGUAGUCCACGCCGUAAACGAUGGGCGCUAGGUGUGGGAGGUGUCGACUCCUCCCGUGCCGAAGCUAACGCAUUAAGCGCCCCGCCUGGGGAGUACGGCCGCAAGGCUAAAACUCAAAGGAAUUGACGG